This 481-nucleotide ribosomal RNA is filed under the name uncultured bacterium. RNAcentral describes it as "partial 16S ribosomal RNA". It matches the Rfam family "Bacterial small subunit ribosomal RNA", at positions 28 to 507 of the family's 1533-position model. The record is from RNAcentral.
GAUGAACGCUGGCGGCGUGCUUAACACAUGCAAGUCGAACGAAGCAUUUAAGACAGAUUACUUCGGUUUGAAGUCUUUUAUGACUGAGUGGCGGACGGGUGAGUAACGCGUGGGUAACCUGCCUCAUACAGGGGGAUAGCAGCUGGAAACGGCUGGUAAUACCGCAUAAGCGCACAGUACCACAUGGUACAGUGUGAAAAACUCUGGUGGUAUGAGAUGGACCCGCGUCUGAUUAGCUUGUUGGCGGGGUAACGGCCCACCAAGGCGACGAUCAGUAGCCGACCGGAGAGGGUGACCGGCCACAUUGGGACUGAGACACGGCCCAGACUCCUACGGGAGGCAGCAGUGGGGAAUAUUGCACAAUGGAGGAAACUCUGAUGCAGCGACGCCGCGUGAGUGAAGAAGUAGUUCGCUAUGUAAAGCUCGAUCAGCAGGGAAGAUAGUGACGGUACCCGACUAAGAAGCUCCGGCUAAAUACGUG